ACGGGAGGCAGCAGUGAGGAAUAUUGGUCAAUGGGCGGAAGCCUGAACCAGCCAAGUCGCGUGAAGGAUGAAGGUAUUAUGUAUUGUAAACCUCUUUAGCAGUGGAGUAAUAAGGAGGUCGAGACCUCUGAUGCAAGUACACUGAAAAUAAGGAUCGGCUAACUCCGUGCCAGCAGCCGCGGUAAUACGGAGGAUCCGAGCGUUAUCCGGAUUUAUUGGGUUUAAAGGGUGCGCAGGCGGCCUUGUAAGUCAGCGGUUAAAUCGUGGAGCUCAACUCCAUCCCGCCGUUGAUACUGCAGGGCUUGAUUGCGGUUGAGGUUGGCGGAAUUCGUCGUGUAGCGGUGAAAUGCAUAGAUAUGACGAAGAACACCGAUUGCGUAGGCAGCUGACCAAGCCGUAAAUGACGCUCAUGCACGAAAGUGCGGGGAUCGAACAGGAUUAGAUACCCUGGUA
Molecule: ribosomal RNA, 453 nt
Filed under: uncultured Porphyromonadaceae bacterium
Lineage: Bacteria; Pseudomonadati; Bacteroidota; Bacteroidia; Bacteroidales; Porphyromonadaceae
Description: partial 16S ribosomal RNA
Rfam family: Bacterial small subunit ribosomal RNA
Source: RNAcentral